Paramuricea clavata is the source of this 298-nucleotide non-coding RNA. Lineage: Eukaryota; Metazoa; Cnidaria; Anthozoa; Malacalcyonacea; Plexauridae. The record is from the annotation of a GenBank genome assembly.
GCCGCUACAGUAGUAGUAUAGGAAUUAUUGACUUAUUGUGGAAGCAAAUUUUGUUACGUAGGCCGCAAUGCUACUGUUUUGCUUUAUGAAUUAAAGCUAAUUAUAUUAUACACUUACCAAUCGCAAUACGAUUUUAAAUGAUGUUCAACGAAUGCCCACAAGAUCGACCUUCAAUUCCUAAAUAUAAACAGGUCACUUCGACCUAUAGUGUUGUGAAAUUAAUGAAAGAAACACAGCAAUAUAAUAUUCGAAUUCCCAAAAUUUAAUAACAUGCGACGACUUAGUAGCGACGACUGUA